Long non-coding RNA from Vicia villosa (hairy vetch), 829 nucleotides. RefSeq lists it as uncharacterized. The record is from RefSeq and is a predicted model, not a curated record. Lineage: Eukaryota; Viridiplantae; Streptophyta; Magnoliopsida; Fabales; Fabaceae. The transcript is spliced from 4 exons.
CUAUCCACAUCAGCAACUCUUCUCUCAAUGAUCCACAUCAGCUUUGGUGGUUACUACAGAAUUUUUGAUCCUUCAACUGCAUGGUGGGCUGCGGCAGUUAUGGCUGUGGAAGUUUCACCCUCACAGCUUCUCAUGUUGCUGCAGUUAUUGCAGUGUGAAUUUGCAUUAUCAUGUCAAGGCCUGUUGAGAGAAUAGCAGAGAUCAAUGAUGGAAAAGAGCUUUGGAAGAUUGUUGUUAGGAUUCACCACCGAUGGAAAGUUGUCUCCAACAGCAAGGAACAUUUUGAAAUGAUCUUUGUUGACAAAUUGGGAGAUGAUAUUCAUGCUGUUGUUCCAGCACCGCAUGUGUCGGUUUUCACCGAAAAAUGCUUAUUAGGCCAUACUUAUACUGUAUCUAAUUUUAAGGUGGUGCCUUAUGUUCUGGCCUUCAGGGCAUCGGGACACAGAUAUAUGAUAAAGUUUACUGCUGGAACGUCUGUUCUUGAUGAAGACAAACAUGAGAUACCCCCGAAAUCGAUUUUAUUUACAAGUUUUUCAGACAUCAUAACAGGGAGGUUUGACAAACAUGUUCUGAUUCGUGAGUAUGGUUUUUGGUUUUUUUAUUGUCUCAUGUUUUGAUGCAUUAUAGCCGUGUGAAAUUAAUAAAUUUAUUUCAGAUGUCGUUGGAAUGGUGGAUAGUAUUGGUUAUGCGCAGACUGAGUCAGGUGCAAAGAAGCAGCAAAUUAGCAUGAUGUUGCGUGAUCACAGCAACAACAUGUUGAACUGUACUCUGUGGGAAUCAUACGCGGAUCAGUUCAUCAAGUUUAACAAAGUUAGGGUUGCUGCAUCAC